This 440-nucleotide ribosomal RNA is filed under the name uncultured Azomonas sp. RNAcentral describes it as "bacterial SSU rRNA". It matches the Rfam family "Bacterial small subunit ribosomal RNA", at positions 358 to 790 of the family's 1533-position model. Lineage: Bacteria; Pseudomonadati; Pseudomonadota; Gammaproteobacteria; Pseudomonadales; Pseudomonadaceae. The record is from RNAcentral.
GGAAUUUUCCGCAAUGGGCGAAAGCCUGAUCCAGCCAUGCCGCGUGUGUGAAGAAGGUCUUCGGAUUGUAAAGCACUUUAAGUUGGGAGGAAGGGCAUUAACCUAAUACGUUAGUGUUUUGACGUUACCGACAGAAUAAGCACCGGCUAACUCUGUGCCAGCAGCCGCGGUAAUACAGAGGGUGCAAGCGUUAAUCGGAAUUACUGGGCGUAAAGCGCGCGUAGGUGGUUUGUUAAGUUGAAUGUGAAAUCCCCGGGCUCAACCUGGGAACUGCAUUCAAAACUGACUGACUAGAGUAUGGUAGAGGGUGGUGGAAUUUCCUGUGUAGCGGUGAAAUGCGCAGAUAUCAGGAGGAACACCGAUGGCGAAGGCAGGUUACUACUAAUACAUUGACGCUGAUGGACGAAAGCGUGGGUAGCGAACAGGAUUAGAUACCCUAG